Calidris pugnax (ruff) is the source of this 1556-nucleotide long non-coding RNA. RefSeq lists it as uncharacterized. NCBI's taxonomy places the organism in Eukaryota, Metazoa, Chordata, Aves, Charadriiformes, Scolopacidae. The record is from RefSeq and is a predicted model, not a curated record. The transcript is spliced from 6 exons.
UGCACAUCUUCAGAAGAUGAGGAAGUGAAGUCUUGCGCAUACACUUGACCCAGUUAAAAUCUCUCUCUGAGCAUUUGUCAACUUGCACAUCACAGUGGAAAUCUGCACUUCAACAAGAGCUACACCCUUCGAGGAGAACUGUUGCAAAGAAACAUGAGAUGCUCCGGAAUCCCAGGGAGAGUUUUUGUUCUUGUUUUGUUCACUUACACUCUGAGUUUGUUUCCUGGCACCCACUCCUCUAAUUUGAAGUCAGCCAGAGUUCUUUAACACUUCUGACUUGUCUCUGAUUUGUCUUUCAUUUCUCUUUUGUAGACUUAAAGCUAUGGAGCCCCUUCAAGAAAGAAAAGAAACCAUACUGGAAGAUUAGAGCCUUGCAUGGAUAUUGAAAGCCUUUUCUGCUCAACCUUUGUUUCAUCAUGGCAUUGUUUUAAAAUAGAUUGCACAUGAGAAAAUAAAUGUAGACUCUGCAAAUGGAGCCAGAAAUCUGUGAAUAGGGGCUUUAUGGAUUACCUUCAAUUCUUUGAAGAACUGAAGGUGAAAAGCUGGCUUUUUGUGACCACAAAGUGAACAGUGCUGAGUCCUGAAGACACGUGAUCUCAGUUCCAGGUCUCAGUCAGUAGACUUGUGUCGGUGCAUCUGGCUACGUGCAGCAAUGCUGUGUAUGCAGUCCCAGUUGCCAGUCAUCAUUCUGGGGCUGCUCUGCAUGGGCCUGAUGGUGUUUUCAGCUCAUGGAGGUAACAGAGGGAAAGCUGUUAUGUGCCCACAGGAAUGCAACACAGGGCUUGUUGGAAACCCAAACAGAGGCAGGAAGAAGCAUGAAGGUGGUGGUCGGUACCAGCACAAUUAUGCUACCAGUCGAACAUGUUGGGAGAAGCCAUCAUCCGGCAUUCAUGAGCUUUUGUGUACAUGGUAUCCUCCUGUUUAAAAGGGCUCUUUCAUAAUAUAGAGGCCUCACCUUCAACAGUGGCCUCUAUUCCAUGGCUCACACUGAGUAAGUUGUCCCCUACUGUUUGAUAACGAUAACAUCCAUUGUCUUUCUGAUGAACUGAGAUAACCUCCAGAGUAAACACGUUGAUCUUCCAUUUUGUUUUGCCCUCCUUCAGCUGCACACAUGUAGCCUCUUCCAUCUUGCACCACUGCAUGACUGGCUUUCUCUUGUAGUAAUGAACUGGACAGCGCACAAUCAAAGAGUUCCCAACAUUAACUUUGUACCAGGACUGUCUAUGAACUUGAAUAUUACCUGGACAAUCCGUGGCAUUUAAUCCUGGAAGAGAAGGAAACCAUAACAAAAAUCACAGUUACUUCCCAUAACACUAAUCACAGUUUCUUUUCUCUCUCACUACUUACAACUUCCCAUGUCUACUUGCAGCAGAUCUGAUCUCUAUAUGAGACAGCGACAGCAGACAACAUCAAGACUAUUGGUUUUUAGGUUAAAAUUUACUUUCUCCCUCUGAUAUGAUUUUUCCCCUUUUUUCUAUAUCUCAGUCAAGUUAGAAAUUUAAUAGUUUAGAAAGAAAAUACUUAAAAUAUACAUUACACAUUUUCCUGUCUUGUCC